Molecule: ribosomal RNA, 322 nt
Filed under: uncultured eukaryote
Lineage: Eukaryota
Description: partial 18S ribosomal RNA
Rfam family: Eukaryotic small subunit ribosomal RNA
Source: RNAcentral
CCCUUAGAUGUUCUGGGCCGCACGCGUGCUACACUGAGUGGAUCAGCGGGUCAGGUUGCGCGAAAGUGUUUCCUAAUCUUGAAAUCCGCUCGUGAUGGGGAUUGACGGUUGCAAUUUUCCGUCAUGAACGAGGAAUACCUUGUAAGCACGGGUCAUCAUCCCGCGCUGAAUACGUCCCUGUCCUUUGUACACACCGCCCGUCGCUCCUACCGAUUGAGUGGUCCGGUGAGGCUUUGGGAUCUGAGCGGAAAGAGCGUUUCGCUGUUUCUGCUCGGAAAACUCAGUCGAACCUUAUCGUUUAGAGGAAGGAGAAGUCGUAACA